RNAcentral lists this ribosomal RNA (491 nucleotides) under uncultured fungus. Its description in RNAcentral is "eukaryotic LSU rRNA". The stretch from base 1 to 125 matches the Rfam family "5.8S ribosomal RNA", at positions 30 to 154 of the family's 154-position model. The record is from RNAcentral. Lineage: Eukaryota; Fungi.
GCAUCGAUGAAGAACGCAGCAAACUGCGAUAAGUAGUGUGAAUUGCAGAAUUUAGUGAAUCAUCGAAUCUUUGAACGCAAAUGGCGCUCUUGGGCCCUCCCAGGAGCACGUCUGUCUGAGCGUCGUUUUUCACAUCCAACACAGCAAUGUGUCGGGCACUGAGGCGUCCCGUUGUAACACACAGGCAUGCAUCUCGGUAUGUGUGUGUGUAAGCGAUCGGUCCCUUCAAGUAGAGCGAUCCCCGAGCUGCAGCAAGUACCCUAACCGGUCUGCUGGUCUCGGCGUGAUAGAAAUAUCAACGUCUGAGCCUGUAGAUGUCAAGGUGGGCUUUUGUACCUCUCAACUCUGGAAUGAUCGAUGGAUACGGAGCAGAGAAGAGCACGAGAGGGAGAGAGCAAUCUCUCGCGUGUUCCCCCUUCUUUGCUGACCAACCAAGACCCCAGAUCAGGCGAGACUACCCGCUGAACUUAAGCAUAUCAAUAAGCGGAGGA